Molecule: long non-coding RNA, 654 nt
Organism: Onychostoma macrolepis
Lineage: Eukaryota; Metazoa; Chordata; Actinopteri; Cypriniformes; Cyprinidae
Exons: 3
Source: RefSeq, a predicted model, not a curated record
GAAAUAUGGCAGCCCAGGAUUGGAUUGACGUCAAAACCUUUCUUGAUGAGCAGCUCGAGACAGUCAGCCUGGCCUCCAUCCGCCGCAGAAUGAACCGGACUCAUCCCAGACAAACGGAUGGCCCUCUUACUGGUAGUGCCCCUCGUAGGCUGCGCGGUGAAUUGGCAGUAGAGAGCAAAGACUGGCUACAUUCGGACUGGCACCAUGUUGUAAGAGUAGAUCAAUGCAGUCCAGGUUCCCACAGCCUGCGGCGUCAUAUAACACACUGUCUCCAUUUGCAGCUUGUGCUGUGACGUCGCCCCCUAGAGGAGGACGCUGUCCAACACAUGGACGUCUGGCUGGACUGACGCUCUGUGUAUCGGAAGCCAACCUUUGCUGUCUCUUUCUUUAUAGGCGUAACUAUACUUGUGCAAUUGCCUCAGUGCAAACACAUCACCUGGAUAAUAUUACACAUGCAGAAUAUCAAGCCAUUGGGAAACCAAAACAGAGCAUGAUAUUUAGGCACACAUAUGAAGUACCUUGAUUGAUAGCUGAUAAAAUCUGGAGGUUUUCAUCACUGGCGGUUUCUAAAGUGCUGCGUGAGAGAAUGAUAUACUGUAUGUGUGAGGUUAAAACAUAUCUUGGUUUUGAAAUAAAUAAAUAUUGCACAUACCU